This 74-nucleotide transfer RNA is filed under the name bacterium. Its description in RNAcentral is "tRNA-Gly". It matches the Rfam family "tRNA". From Rfam's summary of the family: Transfer RNA (tRNA) molecules are approximately 80 nucleotides in length. Their secondary structure includes four short double-helical elements and three loops (D, anti-codon, and T loops). The record is from RNAcentral.
GCGGGUAUGGUUUAGUGGCAGAAUAUCUCGUUGCCAACGAGGAGACAGGAGUUCGAUUCUCCUUACCCGCACCA